UAAUUGCGCGUCAACUUGUGAACUGCAGGACACAUGAACAUCGACAUUUCGAACGCACAUUGCGGUCCACGGAAGCAAUUCCCGGACCACGUCUGGCUGAGGGUCGUUUAAUAAACAAUAACCAGACUGCUUUUGCCGAAAGCGAUUUUCUGGGCGCUUCGUCCUUGCAUAUGAAUUCAAUUAUGCCGGGCGUCGCUCUAAAUGAAUUCGAAAGACGGACGAUAAACUGCAGCAGCCGCGCUGCGCCGCCAACGGGAACUUUCGAACGACAGCGUGCUGCGCACGCUGCCGUUGGCGGUGUUCGUGGGAAAGCCGCGCGCGGUUUCGAAAGUGCGCGCGGCUGGCGAGCCGGUGAAAAGAGCUACUUUAGCGGCUCGUUCGUCGUCGAGUCCCGGAGCUCUUGUGGUCUUUUCUUUUUGACCCGAGCGGACCGAUGGGGACGGCCGUCUUUAUCGUAGCUAAUGGCUCUUUGCCACUUGCUGUCGCCGUUGCGCGAGUAAUUCGUCAUUUCGCGGCGAAGAGAGCACACACUCUGGGCGUGCGAGGCCUUAACGAUUACAUCGAACGCACUACGCGGCGCCGCAGACAAUGCGCGUGCCGGCCUCCUCGUUCUUUUACCGCGUGUGUGCACACUUUGCCCGAGGCGCGCUCGCUGUAACGACAAUUGAUUUUAACGUUGAAACAUGUACAGACGACCUCAGAGCAGGCGAGACUACCCGCUGA
This 723-nucleotide ribosomal RNA is filed under the name Clausenia purpurea. Its description in RNAcentral is "eukaryotic LSU rRNA". The stretch from base 1 to 106 matches the Rfam family "5.8S ribosomal RNA", at positions 50 to 154 of the family's 154-position model. Lineage: Eukaryota; Metazoa; Arthropoda; Insecta; Hymenoptera; Encyrtidae. The record is from RNAcentral.